CCUACGGGGGGCAGCAGUGAGGAAUAUUGGUCAAUGGGCGAUGGCCUGAACCAGCCAAGUAGCGUGAAGGAUGAAGGUUUUCGGAUUGUAAACUUCUUUUAUUAAGGACGAAACUUGACGGUACUUAAUGAAUAAGCUCCGGCUAACUACGUGCCAGCAGCCGCGGUAAUACGUAGGGAGCAAGCGUUAUCCGGAUUUAUUGGGUUUAAAGGGUGCGUAGGCGGCACGCCAAGUCAGCGGUGAAAUUUCCGGGCUCAACCCGGAGUGUGCCGUUGAAACUGGCGAGCUAGAGUACACAAGAGGCAGGCGGAAUUCGUGGUGUAGCGGUGAAAUGCUUAGAUAUCACGAAGAACUCCGAUUGCGAAGGCAGCCUGCUGGACUGUAACUGACGCUGAUGCUCGAAAGUGUGGGUAUCAAACAGGAU
RNAcentral lists this ribosomal RNA (424 nucleotides) under uncultured Phascolarctobacterium sp. RNAcentral's name for it is "bacterial SSU rRNA". It matches the Rfam family "Bacterial small subunit ribosomal RNA", at positions 338 to 778 of the family's 1533-position model. Lineage: Bacteria; Bacillati; Bacillota; Negativicutes; Acidaminococcales; Acidaminococcaceae. The record is from RNAcentral.